AUAAAAAGUUUGAGGUGGCCGCUCAAGUAGCUCAAAGUUUGGUGAGUUGGAGGGAGGGGGUUAAAUCCAGAGAGAGAAGAUGAGCGACACAGAGGCGUCUGAGCAACCUCAGCCCGAGAGAAAAGUCAUCGCAACAGGUGUGCAAGGAACUGUGAAAUGGUUCAAUGUGCGCAAUGGAUAUGGCUUUAUCAAUAGAAAUGAUACUAAAGAAGAUGUAUUUGUUCAUCAGACAGCAAUAAAAAAGAAUAACCCAAGAAAGUUCCUUAGAAGCGUGGGGGAUGGUGAGGUUGUCGAGUUUGACGUUGUCGAAGCAGCUAAAGGCUCAGAGGCAGCGAAUGUGACCGGUCCAGGGGGUGUACCAGUCAAAGGCAGCCGAUACGCCCCCAAUAAACGCAGAUUUCGUAGGCGCUUUUACCCUCGCAAUGCACGUCCUGCUGAAGGAGAGGAGAAAGCUGGAGAAGCUGGGGAUGCUCCAACUGAUCCCACAACUGAGGGAGAGGGUAGCGAAGAGAAAGGAGCCCCUCGGCCACGUCCUCGGCGCCAGCGUCCACGCAAGAGACCUGUUCCACCACAAGGCGAGGGAGAAACAGCCGAGAAGAAUGAGGAAGUAGAUGGUGCCCAGCAGAGGCCGCCACCUCGCAGGUUCAGACCUCGAUUUCGAAGGCCGUUCCAGCCCCGGCCACCCCCUGGAGAGGCUCAACAGACGGUAGCCCCUGCAGAAGAGCAAGAGUCACCCCCUAAAGAGGACCAGACCAAUGGGGAGCAGACAGAUGAGCAGUCCCGGAAACCCUGCAGACAGUUCAGUCGGCGCAGACAGAGGAAAUCUGAAUCCGGUACCUCUAAAGAUGGAGACGAACCUGAAAAACCUGAGUCCCCAGCUCGGGACUCCAAGCCUGCUAAUGUCAAAUCCUCUUCUGAAACGUCCCCUAAAAAUGAGGCACCUGUCCCUACAGCUUCCAAGCCCUCAGAAUGAUUUCUGUGACCUGGAGGAAGUCAUGUGACCCUGGCAAGAGGUGGGACUUCCAGAGCUAAACUGAUUUUAAAGGUUCCAAGAUGGGUUAGUUUGUGGGGUUGAACCUCGCCUGUCUCGUCAAACAUCUUGCCCCUCGCUUCUACGUCAUUGUCCCUCCCCCAAACUGAUCCACUGCUUGUGGUCUGGACCCUUCAUCUGUCAGGGAGAGCGAAAGAGGGAUGGAUGGAAAGGCAGGAGCUGGUGGGGAAGGGAGGGUUGGGUUGAUGCAUACUUGGCCAUUUAAAAGUAAAUAGCAAAAAAAAAAAACCUGCUCUAAAAGCCCAUUAUAUUUCCCCUUAAUAGUUUUGUUCUGUACUAUGGGUGAUGAGCAGUAGAGAAAAUGUGACCAGUUCGGCUACUUUAAGUUCAUCAAAGAGAGGAAAUGCCAUCCAGUGUGAUGAGCACAGACUCUUCUCUUACUUGUAACUUGAUAAAAGGGGAAAACAUGCAUCCAAUCAAAAUUCAAUUUGGUUUAAAAAUUGUCCCUUUUUCUUUUAUUUUGGUAUGUACUUUACUUUGGUGGGGAUUUUGUGCAAUGCCAGUAAAGUAAAUAAAUUAUUUGCUGAC
This is an RNA transcript of Rhinichthys klamathensis goyatoka, 1579 nucleotides long. It is a transcript of the gene named Y-box-binding protein 2-A-like, with no coding region annotated. Lineage: Eukaryota; Metazoa; Chordata; Actinopteri; Cypriniformes; Leuciscidae. The transcript has 10 exons. The record is from RefSeq and is a predicted model, not a curated record.